Molecule: long non-coding RNA, 457 nt
Organism: Harpia harpyja (harpy eagle)
Lineage: Eukaryota; Metazoa; Chordata; Aves; Accipitriformes; Accipitridae
Exons: 3
Source: RefSeq, a predicted model, not a curated record
GCGCAUGGUAAAAAUCCAGUCCUUUUAUGUGUGGGCACAGCAAGGGAUUAUAUGGGGUUUUGACUAAUGUGAGAUGAGUAGCAAGCUCAAACUAGAUGUUAUUAAUAUGGGAAAGACUAUGCUAACACCUAAGUGGAUAUUGUACUGGAUGGAAAGUGAGAGUGGUACCAUGCAACUUGAACAGCGAAGAAAAAAAAGCAAUCUCUAGUGGCACUAUCAGUAAAGUUAUUUCUUACUUUGGACAAAAGAAAAACCAGGAGUGGGAACUCCAACUACAGGAGCCUAUGUUUUUUUCAUCUUUACAUGGCCCACUUCACACCAGGUUGCGCACUCUGAUUCUUCUGGAUGUGUGGUUUCUGUUGACCUUUUAUUCAUGCCUGCCAACACCAGCUUCCUUUCAAAGAAGCGAAAUGCUGAUCAGGACAAAUUUAGAUUUUCACAAUGUAAAAUUACCUUA